CUUGGGGACUGUUCAGUGAAGCCGUCGUGCACCCCGGAGGCCCUGGGACACCCGGAGGGCGCGGCGGGGGCUCCGGCCACCCCCCCGGGCCGGGUCACAGCUUCCCGCCUGGCGCACCCAGGGUUUUGAGAGUCGCGUGUGCGCCCGAGUGAGAAGGGCUCCGACGGCGCGCGCUCGGGGCCGCGGGGCUGGCUCCGGAAAGCCGCGGGAGGACGGAGACCGCAACGAGGCGCGCGGGGGGCAGGCUUCGGCGCUGUUGCCAACGAACCCACAGACUAGAACUGUACUGAAGCGCGCUUGACGAUGUAUCGGCAGGUCUGGUGGAACAGGAACGUUCCCUGUCUUGAGAGCUUGGUGAUGGAAGAAGAAAACUUGGCGAAAGUAGCAGAAGUGACGAGAUUAUCAGAAAUCGCUCCGUUAAGGGAGCAUCUGAGCUGACACCCUCUUCUCAUUGUAACGUGGAUUAAAAAAGGCCCUGAUAAACCUUCA
Molecule: non-coding RNA, 489 nt
Organism: Vicugna pacos (alpaca)
Lineage: Eukaryota; Metazoa; Chordata; Mammalia; Artiodactyla; Camelidae
Source: RefSeq, a predicted model, not a curated record